GGUCAAGCGGGUGAAGGCACACGGCGAAUGCCUUGGCAUCAAGGGCCGAAGAAGGGCGCAGUACAGCUGCGAUAAGCCUCGGUGAGCUGCUAAGCAAGCUUAGCCGGGGAUACCCGAAUGGGGCAACCCGCUCAGGUAAAACCUGAGCACCCCCAGCUGAACACAUAGGCUGGGAGGAGGUAAGCAGGGGAAGUGAAACAUCUCAGUACCCUGAGGAAAAGAAAUUAUUCCCUGAGUAGUGGCGAACGAAAGGGGAAGAGCCUAAACUCUAUAAGCUAAGUGGUUCUAGGGCCUAAGCGUAUAGAGAGUUGUAAGGCAGAUAGGACCAAGCCUGGAGUAGGUCGAGGAGUUAGCAACCGAACCCUAGUCGAAGGACUCUGGAAAGGGCCAUCGUAGAGGGUGAUAAUCCCGUAGAUGAAAGGGGGAGGCUCCUUAUCUGUCCUUGAGUACCACGGGACACGAGGAAUCUUGUGGGAAUCUACCCUGACCACAGGGUAAGGCUAAAUACCCUUGAUGACCGAUAGUGAACUAGUACCGUGAGGGAAAGGUGAAAAGUACCCCGGGAGGGGAGUGAAAUAGACCUGAAACCGUGUGCUGUCAAGCAGUCAGAGCCUCAAGUAAUUGGGGUGAUGGCGUGCCUAUUGAAGAAUGAGCCGGCGAGUUAAUGUAGGUAGCUUGGUUAAGCCAGUGGACUGGCGGAGCCGUAGCGAAAGCGAGUCCGAAUAGGGCGUUGUCCUGAGCUUGUCGAAGGACAGGUUGCCUGUAUUAGACCCGAAGCCGGGUGAGCUAUCCAUGGCCAGGGUGAAGCCUCAUUAAAAUGGGGUGGAGGCCCGAACGGGUGGUCGGUGCAAAGACCUCCGAUGAGCUGUGGAUAGAGGCGAAAUGCCAACCGAACCCGGAAAUAGCUGGUUCUCCCCGAAAUGCAUUUAGGUGCAGCCUCCGGGUAGCAGCUGUGGAGGUAGGGCGCUGGAUGGGCUAGGGGGCGAGUAGCCUACCAAACUCAACCAAACCACUAAUGCCACAGCUUAUCACCGGGGAGUGAGGCGGCGGGGGAUAACCUUCAUCGCCAAACAGGGAAACAACCCAAACCAUCAGCUAAGGUCCCCAAGAGCAGGCUAAGUGGGCAAGGAUGUGGGUCUGCACAGACAGCCAGGAUGUUGGCUCAGAAGCAGCCACCAUUUAAAGAGUGCGUAACAGCUCACUGGUCGAGUGGAGCCGCGCCAACAACUCAAGGGGCUAAGCCUGCCACCGAAGCUAUGGGUUCUCCCGAUUCGUCGGGGGAGCGGUAGGGGAGCGUUCCGUUGCCAGUGAAGUCGAGGCGUGAGCCUCGGUGGAGGUUACGGAAGUGCGAAUGCCGGCACGAGUAGCGUUAACUCUGGUGAGAAACCGGGGCACCGAAAACCUAAGGUUUCCUACGCAAGGUUAAUCCGCGUAGGGUUAGUCGGCCCUAAGCCGAGGCCGAAAG
Molecule: ribosomal RNA, 1465 nt
Filed under: Chloroflexota bacterium
Lineage: Bacteria; Bacillati; Chloroflexota
Description: Chloroflexi bacterium (groundwater metagenome) partial 23S ribosomal RNA
Rfam family: Bacterial large subunit ribosomal RNA
Source: RNAcentral